This 798-nucleotide ribosomal RNA is filed under the name uncultured Burkholderia sp. RNAcentral describes it as "bacterial SSU rRNA". It matches the Rfam family "Bacterial small subunit ribosomal RNA", at positions 108 to 901 of the family's 1533-position model. The record is from RNAcentral. Lineage: Bacteria; Pseudomonadati; Pseudomonadota; Betaproteobacteria; Burkholderiales; Burkholderiaceae.
GAGUAAUACAUCGGAACGUGUCCUGGAGUGGGGGAUAGCCCGGCGAAAGCCGGAUUAAUACCGCAUACGCUCUGAGGAGGAAAGCGGGGGAUCUUUCGGGACCUCGCGCUGCAGGGGCGGCCGAUGGCAGAUUAGCUAGUUGGUGGGGUAAAGGCCUACCAAGGCGACGAUCUGUAGCUGGUCUGAGAGGACGACCAGCCACACUGGGACUGAGACACGGCCCAGACUCCUACGGGAGGCAGCAGUGGGGAAUUUUGGACAAUGGGCGCAAGCCUGAUCCAGCAAUGCCGCGUGUGUGAAGAAGGCCUUCGGGUUGUAAAGCACUUUUGUCCGGAAAGAAAACUUCUGGGUUAAUACCCCGGGAGGAUGACGGUACCGGAAGAAUAAGCACCGGCUAACUACGUGCCAGCAGCCGCGGUAAUACGUAGGGUGCAAGCGUUAAUCGGAAUUACUGGGCGUAAAGCGUGCGCAGGCGGUUCGCUAAGACAGAUGUGAAAUCCCCGGGCUUAACCUGGGAACUGCAUUUGUGACUGGCGGGCUAGAGUAUGGCAGAGGGGGGUAGAAUUCCACGUGUAGCAGUGAAAUGCGUAGAGAUGUGGAGGAAUACCGAUGGCGAAGGCAGCCCCCUGGGCCAAUACUGACGCUCAUGCACGAAAGCGUGGGGAGCAAACAGGAUUAGAUACCCUGGUAGUCCACGCCCUAAACGAUGUCAACUAGUUGUCGGGUCUUCAUUGACUUGGUAACGUAGCUAACGCGUGAAGUUGACCGCCUGGGGAGUACGGUCGCAAGAUUAAAACU